GAUGAACGCUGGCGGCGUGCUUAACACAUGCAAGUCGAACGGAAAGGCUCCUGCUUGCAGGGGUACUCGAGUGGCGAACGGGUGAGUAACACGUGGGUGAUCUGCCCUGCACUUCGGGAUAAGCCUGGGAAACUGGGUCUAAUACCGGAUAGGACCACAUUUUGGAUGGUGUGGUGGAAAGUUUUUCGGUGUGGGAUGAGCUCGCGGCCUAUCAGCUUGUUGGUGGGGUAAUGGCCUACCAAGGCGUCGACGGGUAGCCGGCCUGAGAGGGUGUACGGCCACAUUGGGACUGAGAUACGGCCCAGACUCCUACGGGAGGCAGCAGUGGGGAAUAUUGCACAAUGGGUGCAAGCCUGAUGCAGCGACGCCGCGUGGGGGAUGACGGCCUUCGGGUUGUAAACUCCUUUCGCUAGGGACGAAGCGCAAGUGACGGUACCUGGAGAAGAAGCACCGGCUAACUACGUG
Molecule: ribosomal RNA, 465 nt
Filed under: uncultured bacterium
Lineage: Bacteria
Description: partial 16S ribosomal RNA
Rfam family: Bacterial small subunit ribosomal RNA
Source: RNAcentral